This 1456-nucleotide ribosomal RNA is filed under the name metagenome. RNAcentral's name for it is "bacterial SSU rRNA". It matches the Rfam family "Bacterial small subunit ribosomal RNA". The record is from RNAcentral.
AGAGUUUGAUCCUGGCUCAGGAUGAACGCUAGCGGCGCGCCUUAUGCAUGCAAGUCGUACGGUUUAUCGCAAGAUAGACAGUGGCAAACGGGUGAGUAAUAGUUAGGUAACCUGCCUUUAAGUGGGGGAUAACACUUCGAAAGAAGUGCUAAUACCGCAUGUGGUGCUCUUUCAUAAGAAGGAUCACUAAAACCGCAAGGUGCUUGAAGAGGGGCCUGACUCCGAUUAGCUAGUUGGUGAGGUAACGGCCCACCAAGGCUGGGAUCGGUAGCUGGUCUGAGAGGAUGGUCAGCCACACUGGACUGAGACACGGCCCAGACUCCUACGGGAGGCAGCAGCAAGGAAUCUUGGGCAAUGGGCGAAAGCCUGACCCAGCGACGCCGCGUGAGGGAUGAAGGCCUUCGGGUUGUAAACCUCUUUUCUCAGGGAAGAAUAAUGACGGUACCUGAGGAAUAAGUCUCGGCUAACUACGUGCCAGCAGCCGCGGUAAUACGUAGGAGGCGAGCGUUAUCCGGAUUUAUUGGGCGUAAAGUGGGCGUAGGUGGUCUUUCAAGUCAGAUGUGAAAUCUCCCGGCUUAACUGGGAGGGGUCAUCUGAUACUGUUGGACUUGAGUACAGCAGGGGAAAAUGGAAUUCCCGGUGUAGUGGUGAAAUGCGUAGAUAUCGGGAGGAACACCAGAGGCGAAGGCGAUUUUCCAGGCUGAAACUGACACUGAGGCCCGAAAGCGUGGGUAGCGAACAGGAUUAGAUACCCUGGUAGUCCACGCCUUAAACUAUGGGUACUAGGUAUAGGGAGUAUCGACCCUUUCUGUGCCGAAGCUAACGCUUUAAGUACCCCGCCUGGGGAGUACGGUCGCAAGACUAAAACUCAAAGGAAUUGACGGGGGCCCGCACAAGCAGCGGAGCGUGUGGUUUAAUUCGAUCCUACACGAAGAACCUCACCAAGGCUUGACAUGUUAGAAGUAGUGAACCGAAAGGGGAACGACCUGUUAAGUCAGGAGCUAUCACAGGUGCUGCAUGGCUGUCGUCAGCUCGUGCCGUGAGGUGUAUGGUUAAGUCCUGCAACGAGCGCAACCCUUAUUGCCAGUUAUAUUCUCUGGCGAUACUGCCUCGCAAAACGGGGAGGAAGGUGGGGAUGACGUCAAGUCAGCAUGGCCUUUAUGCCUUGGGCUACACACACGCUACAAUGGACGGUACAAUGGGUUGCCACCGGGCGACCGGGCGCUAAUCCCCAAAACCGUCCUCAGUUCGGAUCGCAGGCUGAAACCCGCCUGCGUGAAGUCGGAGUUGCUAGUAAACGCGUGUCAGCAUAGCGCGUUGAAUACGUUCUCGGGCCUUGUACACACCGCCCGUCACGUCAUGAAAGCUGGUAACACCUGAAGUCGAUAGGCUAACCCGCAAGGGAGGCAGUCGCCCAAGGUGGGACUGGUAAUUGGGACGAAGUCGUAACAAGGUA